GAUGAAGAACGUAGCGAAAUGCGAUAAGUAAUGUGAAUUGCAGAAUUCAAUGAAUCAUCGAAUCUUUGAACGCACAUUGCGCCCCCUGGUAUUCCGGGGGGCAUGCCUGUCCGAGCGUCAUUACAACCCUCAAGCUCAGCUUGGUAUUGGGCCCCGCCGCUCCGGCGGGCCCUAAAGUCAGUGGCGGUGCCGUCCGGCUCCGAGCGUAGUAAUUCUUCUCGCUCUGGAGGCCCGGUCGUGUGCUCGCCAGCAACCCCCAAUUUUUUUCAGGUUGACCUCGGAUCAGGUAGGGAUACCCGCUGAACUUAAGCAUAUCAAUAAGCGGAGGA
RNAcentral lists this unclassified non-coding RNA (329 nucleotides) under soil metagenome. RNAcentral describes it as "partial contains 5.8S ribosomal RNA, internal transcribed spacer 2, and large subunit ribosomal RNA". The stretch from base 1 to 120 matches the Rfam family "5.8S ribosomal RNA", at positions 35 to 154 of the family's 154-position model. The record is from RNAcentral.